Long non-coding RNA from Numida meleagris (helmeted guineafowl), 3556 nucleotides. NCBI's taxonomy places the organism in Eukaryota, Metazoa, Chordata, Aves, Galliformes, Numididae. The record is from Ensembl.
AUGCUUUGUGAAAAUGACAUCACAGAGCCGAGUGGGAAGGGGGGGCAGGUCAGGGGGCGGGCUCCAGGCAGCCUUUGUGAGCCUGUCCCUGGGGUGGGUUGUCCACCCCACACAGAGCACUGCACCUGGCUGGGGGCAGUUCUGACACUAGUGUGCCCAAGCCAGCCAAAGUGCAAAACGAAAGCAAUUGUGCAGCAGAAAUGUAAUGCCGAGAGUUCUCUUCAUGACCUAACACCGGUGUCCCUGAGCACAACUCCUGGGCUUGGGGGCACAGCAGGCUGUAUGGCCACCCUGGCUCACUGCUUGCCCAUCGUGCCUUGUCCUUUGGGCCACAGGAAGCCACAGCUGCAGCCAAGGGAUUCUGUGCAACCAGGGAACAGGUGACCUGCAGUACAGUGAAGCUUUUCUGUCUCAUUAAAAGCUUUCCAGAUACCUGCUUUCUCCUCUCUGCUGGCGAUCUGGUAUCAUUUGUUUAAAAAAAAGGCUGGAGGAGACAGAAUUGAUAAAUAAGUUAUUGCUCGUGUUUUCUAGUCACCCAGGGCCUUUGGACACUUCGCUGAAGUGUAUCAUUAACAACCGAGGCAUUGCAGGCAUAACUGGUGAGCAGCGUGGGGUGUGCGUGCUGCCUCCACACCUGCGGCACGCAUUUCCACCAGGUGGGCUCAGCAUCACCAGGUGGGCUCAGCAUGUCCCACAGUCUCCCCUCACCUUGGGGUUGUCCUCACCUGCAUGGCACAGCGAGGUGCCAGGCAAGUGCUUUCCUUCCUUUUGCAGAGGUUGCUCAUUCCUGGGCUGCUGGGAGGCUCCACGUUUCAGACCCUGAGGUAAAAGGCUUGGCCAUGUGCACCACUCUCCCUGUCUGACCUGAAGCAUGGCCAAAUCACUUGCUAUUAACCUGAAAGGAAAAUGUGGGCCUAAGAAUGUUUUAGAACUCUUUAGAAGGGUGAAGACUGAAUCAAGUGCUAAUGUUUUAUUAUCUGGCUUUCCUUAGCAAGCUCUCUCUGUUCACUGAGCUGAGCAAAAUUUUGAAGUCAUACUUUAGGUGUGGAAGAGACCUCAUAAAUUCUAGUACUUAUGGAAUCUCUGUAAAGUAUUUUCUCUUUGGGUUUCAACAAAGACAUUCUCAAUGAAGAGCAUUCCAGGGCAAAGGUGCAGAGAUACAGUCUAAGCAGUCUCAGUGGUUUUCAUCAGCUUAGUGGAAAAAGUUAUAUGUUGCAGAAGGAUAUUUUUUCUAAAAAAGGCUCAAUUAAAAGUUUCCACGUUACAUAAGUGAAUUAAAGUUUAGGACUGAGGAGGCUAAGACAUGUUUUGGCCGUGCCACCUUGCCCAGACAGACACCUGCAAGCCAUGCCACCUGAUAUGACUAUGCUACAGGAGUGGCAGGGCAAAGCGCAGUGACAGGAUCAGGCUCUAAGCCCUGUGUGCAGAUGGGGAUUCCCGCUGAGUGACUUCAGCUGAGAAUAUAUGAAUUGUCUUCAGUGCUGGUUUUCUGAAAAAUUUAAACUUGCUCCUAGUGGUUUCCUUUUCUAGACAGUCACACAGGUCCAUGGGGCUUGUAUAGGAUUUAUGGAGAGUGUAGGCAAGUGAGUCUUGGAUGGUGUAUCCUACACAAUUGUACCACAACCUGGAAAACACAUAAAAAUGCAGAAUCCUUACUUUAUGUUCCCUUCUAGCUGAAUUCCUAUAGCGAAUGCCAGAUGUUCCUGUUCAGCAGUAUCAUGUACUUAAUUAUCAGCUGAAGGAAUUCUAAAGGGCUGUAGGAUUGAUGGGAGGUGACCAGAAGGUCAGUGUGGUCUCCCAGGUUAGCAUGGGAGGGGAUAACAAGAAGCUCAGUAGCACUAUCCCAGGCUUUGGCUGGUGAGUCCCAUCAGGCUGGGUAAUACUUCCUAUGUCCUGUCCAGGAUGAGCUGGAGUUUGUGUGGGAUUUGAGACAGGGCAUUUUAGAGCGUCUGCUUAUCUAAUAGUCCCAGUCAGAAAGCAGAUGAAAUUUCCAGACUUGCCAGUCAAUAUUUUUGAUGGCUAAGUUUCUGUGGAUCAUACCUUUAAUGUUAUCCUGAAAUACAUUUUGGUGUGGUGUAAGCGCGUUAUCACUCAGAGACAACACAAAGUGCCUCGGGCACUAGGCAGAGGGCCAAAUCUUGUCCACGGGAUGAAUAUUUGCAGUUCCUCUUGACUCCCCAGUAUCUGAAGGUCAAGUCUGACCCACAGUCUCCGACAAAGCUGAAAAGAUAAGAGUGCCAAAGAAGUGGUAAGAGGGCAAAGGUAGUUAUCAGCAGUUUCCAGUUGCUUUGUUCUGGCAAUGGGGAGGUAACAGUGUGUGAGAGGAGACAGAAGGAUCACACUGAGCAGAGCCCUUGGUUUCUAGCUGUUUGAGUGUAAGGCAUUCUGUUAUUUUGUUUUAAGUGGCUUUGAGCUCCUACAUCACCCUUUUUUUCGGGCUGGACCCAAUUGUGCCCUUGACUGACUGUACAUUGCUUCUGCUGACUUAGGCAGGCAGGUCCAUUUUGAAAGCAGGCUCUUCUGUGGCGAGGAUAAGGGGCAUGUAAGAGGCAUUCAGGUGCUCUGCCCCUGGUCCACAAAGACCUCUCUGUGUAGUCCUUCAUGCAGACAUCAGUGAGUCAGCAGUACUCAAUGCUGUCUGCUAAACAGUGAUGCUGAGAAGACCAACACCUUAUGAAACUCAGUCUUACGUGCAGAGAUUACAAAUGAAGAGAGCAUGCUGAGCCUCGGGGCAUGCUAUCAGGGAUAGCCAGAGUGCUGGUCCGCCAGCAAGUGCUGAAGCUCUUGGGUUUUGAUGUGGUAAUGUGACCUCUGUUCUCCAGCCUUGUGCUUUUUGCAUACAGAAAGAUGAAGGGAUUCCUAGAUGCUCACUGGGAGGAAAACAGCCAAACCCACCUGACUGAAGAGUAGGCACCCUAACAGAGCUGACCUUCCUCUCAGCCUGUUUGCUGUUUAAGAUCUCCUGCAGUGGAUCCCCUCACAAAACUGUUCCUGCUCUUUGCAGGAGGGUUGAAUUUAUCCAUACCCUCUUCUGCAGGGGCUCCAAAUGAAACCUCUCACAAACUGGAAGCAAGUGAGGUAUGUUCCUCUCUGUAACUGUGCUUUUCCAGUCUCUAGUUCUGCUGUCCUUGCCAGGUCAGAGCAGGGUGUUAGGUGGCAGAGGCACAUGGUGAGCAUGCAAAGGUGUUGCACAACCUGCUUUGUGGUGUUGUGCCUGCUCUGCCAGGUUCAUGGGCUCCAAGAAGAGAUAGUUACCGUUUUUAAAGAAAAAAAACCUGAAGGAUUCACAUGCUUAUCUCCAGGCCCCACCCUCCAAACGGUUGCUCUGCCCUAGCAGACAGUCCCUUCUGUCUUGAACUGAGCUCAGUGCAACCUGCAGUUUGGGGGUGGAAAGCAGCCUGGAGCAGCAGGCAGCAAAAGCUGAAAGGGUUUGCAUUUAGACUGAAGCAUGGAGUGAGCAUUGUGCUCUGGAAAGAGACAGACUCGCAGCCCCAUCCUGAGGGAAGCCUCCUGGACAGUUCAACAAGAUGCAAAAUAAAUUACUAGAAAGUCUACA